UUUGGAGAAGAGCGGCGGACGGGUGAGUAACGCGUGGGUAACCUGCCCUGUACACACGGAUAGCAUACCGAAAGGUAUGCUAAUACGAGAUAAUAUGCUUUUAUCGCAUGGUAGAAGUAUCAAAGCUUUUGCGGUACAGGAUGGACCCGCGUCUGAUUAGCUAGUUGGUAAGGUAACGGCUUACCAAGGCGACGAUCAGUAGCCGACCUGAGAGGGUGAUCGGCCACAUUGGAACUGAGACACGGUCCGAACUCCUACGGGAGGCAGCAGUGGGGAAUAUUGCACAAUGGGCGAAAGCCUGAUGCAGCAACGCCGCGUGAGCGAUGAAGGCCUUCGGGUCGUAAAGCUCUGUCCUCAAGGAAGAUAAUGACGGUACUUGAGGAGGAAGCCCCGGCUAACUACGUGCCAGCAGCCGCGGUAAUACGUAGGGGGCUAGCGUUAUCCGGAAUUACUGGGCGUAAAGGGUGCGUAGGUGGUUUCUUAAGUCAGAGGUGAAAGGCUACGGCUCAACCGUAGUAAGCCUUUGAAACUGGGAAACUUGAGUGCAGGAGAGGAGAGUGGAAUUCCUAGUGUAGCGGUGAAAUGCGUAGAUAUUAGGAGGAACACCAGUUGCGAAGGCGGCUCUCUGGACUG
RNAcentral lists this ribosomal RNA (633 nucleotides) under uncultured Clostridium sp. RNAcentral's name for it is "bacterial SSU rRNA". It matches the Rfam family "Bacterial small subunit ribosomal RNA", at positions 84 to 736 of the family's 1533-position model. Lineage: Bacteria; Bacillati; Bacillota; Clostridia; Eubacteriales; Clostridiaceae. The record is from RNAcentral.